Non-coding RNA from Chionomys nivalis (European snow vole), 357 nucleotides. The record is from the annotation of a RefSeq genome assembly. NCBI's taxonomy places the organism in Eukaryota, Metazoa, Chordata, Mammalia, Rodentia, Cricetidae.
AUGAAGUCAGCUGCUCUCCUCUUCUGGGUUCUGCUCUUCUGGGUCCCUGGCUCCACUCGGGACAUUGUAUUGACCCAGUCUCCUACUUCCGUGGCUGUGUCCUUGGGACAAAGUGUUACUAUCUCUUGCAAGUCCAGUGGGAGUGUCAACAGAUUUGGCAUAAAUCUUAUGCAUUGGUAUCAAAAGAAACCAGGGGAGCCACUCAAACUCUUGAUCUAUAAUGAAGGAAUUCGAUCAUCAGGAAUUCCUGCCAGAUUCAGUGGUAAUGAGGCUUCAUUAGACUUCACCCUCACCAUCAAUACUGUAGAAGCUGAUGAUGCUGCAACCUAUUACUGUCAGCAUAUUAAGAAAAAGUAC